Molecule: transfer RNA, 85 nt
Filed under: Pedobacter rhizosphaerae
Lineage: Bacteria; Pseudomonadati; Bacteroidota; Sphingobacteriia; Sphingobacteriales; Sphingobacteriaceae
Description: tRNA_Leu_CAA
Source: RNAcentral
GCUCGGGUGGUGGAACUGGUAGACACGCAGGACUCAAAAUACUGUGACCCUAAAAGUCGUGCGGGUUCGAUUUCCACCCCGAUAG